CAAUAGCGUAUAUUUAAGUUGUUGCAGUUAAAAAGCUCGUAGUUGGAUUUCGGGUGGGACGCAGCGGUCUCGCAUUGCGUUUGUACUGCUGCAGCCCUCCUUCUUGCCGGGGGCGGCCUCUCGGACUUCACUGUCUGGGGGUCAGAAUCGGCGAUGUUACUUUGAGUAAAUUAGAGUGUUCAAAGCAAGCUUACGCUCUGAAUAUAAUAGCAUGGGAUAACACGACAGGACUCUGGCCUCUCGUGUUGGUCUAUAGGACCAGAGUAAUGAUUAAGAGGGACAGUCGGGGGCAUUCGUAUUCCGUUGUCAGAGGUGAAAUUCUUGGAUUUACGGAAGACGAACAUCUGCGAAAGCAUUUGCCAAGGAUGUUUUCAUUGA
This 378-nucleotide ribosomal RNA is filed under the name uncultured eukaryote. RNAcentral describes it as "partial 18S ribosomal RNA". It matches the Rfam family "Eukaryotic small subunit ribosomal RNA", at positions 592 to 976 of the family's 1831-position model. The record is from RNAcentral.